Molecule: ribosomal RNA, 581 nt
Filed under: uncultured Haloarcula sp.
Lineage: Archaea; Methanobacteriati; Methanobacteriota; Halobacteria; Halobacteriales; Haloarculaceae
Description: bacterial SSU rRNA
Rfam family: Archaeal small subunit ribosomal RNA
Source: RNAcentral
UGCUAAGUCGCACGAGUUUAGACUCGUGGCAUAUAGCUCAGUAACACGUGGCCAAACUACCCUACAGACCGCAAUAACCUCGGGAAACUGAGGCCAAUAGCGGAUAUAACUCUCAGGCUGGAGUGCCGAGAGUUAGAAACGUUCCGGCGCUGUAGGAUGUGGCUGCGGCCGAUUAGGUAGAUGGUGGGGUAACGGCCCACCAUGCCGAUAAUCGGUACAGGUUGUGAGAGCAAGAGCCUGGAGACGGUAUCUGAGACAAGAUACCGGGCCCUACGGGGCGCAGCAGGCGCGAAACCUUUACACUGCACGACAGUGCGAUAGGGGGACUCCGAGUGUGAGGGCAUAUAGCCCUCGCUUUUCUGCACCGUAAGGUGGUGCAAGAAUAAGGACUGGGCAAGACCGGUGCCAGCCGCCGCGGUAAUACCGGCAGUCCAAGUGAUGGCCGAUAUUAUUGGGCCUAAAGCGUCCGUAGCUUGCUGUGUAAGUCCAUUGGGAAAUCGACCAGCUCAACUGGUCGGCGUCCGGUGGAAACUACACAGCUUGGGGCCGAGAGACUCAACGGGUACGUCCGGGGUAGGAGU